ACUCAAAUGAAUUGACGGGGGCCCGCACAAGCAGUGGAGCAUGUGGUUCAAUUCGAUGCAACGCGAAGAACCUUACCUGGGCUUGACAUGUAAGCUAAGGCUGGUGAAAGCCGGCGUGCCGCAAGGCGAGCUUAUACAGGUGCUGCAUGGCUGUCGUCAGCUCGUGCCGUGAGGUGUUGGGUUAAGUCCCGCAACGAGCGCAACCCUUGUCCUUAGUUGCCACCGGGUAAUGCCGAGCACUCUAAGGAGACUGCCUACGCAAGUAGUGAGGAAGGUGGGGAUGACGUCAAGUCCGCAUGGCCCUUACGCCCAGGGCCACACACGUGCUACAAUGGCCGCUACAGAGGGCUGCAGAGCCGCAAGGCGAAGCCAAUCCCAAAAAAGCGGUCUCAGUUCGGAUUGGAGUCUGAAACUCGACUCCAUGAAGCUGGAAUUGCUAGUAAUCGCGCAUCAGCACGGCGCGGUGAAUACGUUCCCGGGCCUUGCACACACCGCCCGU
Molecule: ribosomal RNA, 499 nt
Filed under: uncultured bacterium
Lineage: Bacteria
Description: partial 16S ribosomal RNA
Rfam family: Bacterial small subunit ribosomal RNA
Source: RNAcentral